Molecule: long non-coding RNA, 318 nt
Filed under: Panax ginseng (ginseng)
Lineage: Eukaryota; Viridiplantae; Streptophyta; Magnoliopsida; Apiales; Araliaceae
Description: long non-coding RNA (PGIN_LNC010874)
Source: RNAcentral
AAACAUAACUCUUCAUCUUUUACUCAUUAAAUCUCCUUCACAAAUGUAUUUGUAUAGAAUUUCGGGUAAAUUAUCAUAGAAAUUUUACAUAACAGUCCACACCAGAUCACAUAUCAAAUGCAGAUUUCUAUUUGUAUUGCCAAAAGAUAAACAGCCUCUUUUACAUUGCUGCAGAAUAUUGUUUACUGUAUACUUCUCUAAAGCACCACAAUAUUUUUAGUGGGUGCAAUUCUAUCACUCAACUGUACAGGAACAAGUUACAAACUCAACACGCUAAGUUAGCUGCAGAAUUUUGUAAAAACAAGUUAAAAAAAAAAG